This 435-nucleotide ribosomal RNA is filed under the name uncultured bacterium. Its description in RNAcentral is "partial 16S ribosomal RNA". It matches the Rfam family "Bacterial small subunit ribosomal RNA", at positions 28 to 507 of the family's 1533-position model. The record is from RNAcentral.
GAUGAACGCUGGCGGUAUGCUUAACACAUGCAAGUCGAACGGACUCUUCGGAGUUAGUGGCGGGCGGGUGAGUAACGCGUGAGAAUCUGGCUUUGGGUUCGGGACAACCACUGGAAACGGUGGCUAAUACCGGAUGUGCCGAGAGGUAAAAGAGAAAUUGCCUGAAGAUGAGCUCGCGUCUGAUUAGCUAGUUGGUGAGGUAAAGGCUCACCAAGGCAGCGAUCAGUAGCUGGUCUGAGAGGAUGACCAGCCACACUGGGACUGAGACACGGCCCAGACUCCUACGGGAGGCAGCAGUGGGGAAUUUUCCGCAAUGGGCGAAAGCCUGACGGAGCAAUACCGCGUGAGGGAAGAAGGCUCUUGGGUUGUAAACCUCUUUUCUUAGGGAAGAACAAAAUGACGGUACCUAAGGAAUCAGCAUCGGCUAACUCCGUG